GGACAGGAGCAGGAGCUAGUGACUGAGCUUGAGUGCCAAAGAAGGCCAUCAAAAUGUCGUUUCCGGAAGUAGGAGGGGUGGGGAGUUGGGGUUGGGGAUGAUAAGGAAUGGGUCCAGUAGGAUUAGGAUGAGGAUGCAAAGGGUGUUGGGGUUGAGGAGGAGGAGGGUAAGGAAGGUAGUGGUGGAAAGGGUAAGGCCCAGUAGGCGGAGGGUAAGAGGAAGAAGGCGUCAAAUAGGGCGGUGGAGGCGGCGUUGAGGAUUGGGCUGGGAAAGAUGGGGAUGUAGUAAGGUUUGAAGUGUUAGGACUUGGAGUUGGACUUGGAGAAGUUGCUGUCACGUUCACGUUCUGAAGAUGCUGAUGCUGCAACAUAGGGCUAGAACUGGGUUUAAACAGCUUGUUCAAAUCAAACCCACCGCUGCCACCACCGC
Molecule: long non-coding RNA, 429 nt
Filed under: Gossypium raimondii (Peruvian cotton)
Lineage: Eukaryota; Viridiplantae; Streptophyta; Magnoliopsida; Malvales; Malvaceae
Description: long non-coding RNA (GRAI_LNC004719)
Source: RNAcentral